This 29-nucleotide non-coding RNA is filed under the name Cricetulus griseus (Chinese hamster). The record is from RNAcentral. Lineage: Eukaryota; Metazoa; Chordata; Mammalia; Rodentia; Cricetidae.
CCUUUAGUCAGGACUGCAGAUAAAAAUAG